UGGCUUUGAGAAAGCAAUUGUAGGCCUGUUACGACCUUCAAUAAUGAGAAAAUCCAUACCCUAUACUAUAGUCAAAGUAGGCAGCUAUAAAAGACCUAAAGAUGAAACAUUGAAACAAUCCAAACUGUAAAACUAAUCAUGCUAAUUGCCUAGUUUAUAACAAAAUAAAUUACAAAAAAUAAAUAUGACCGGUAUGAAACAACAACAACAACAACCACUAAAUUUUAGUGUCAGACUAAACUGACAAAAGCUACAGGCUCUGAACUUUGGACAGGCACAAUAGGAAUAUGGCAAGGUUAUAUAAAAAUAAGAUGUGGUAUGAUUGCCAAUAAGACAACUCUCCACCAG
This 348-nucleotide long non-coding RNA is filed under the name Mytilus galloprovincialis (Mediterranean mussel). The record is from RNAcentral. Lineage: Eukaryota; Metazoa; Mollusca; Bivalvia; Mytilida; Mytilidae.